AGUGAACGCUGGCGGUAGGCCUAACACAUGCAAGUCGAACGGCAGCACAGUAAGAGCUUGCUCUUACGGGUGGCGAGUGGCGGACGGGUGAGGAAUACAUCGGAAUCUACUUUUUCGUGGGGGAUAACGUAGGGAAACUUACGCUAAUACCGCAUACGACCUACGGGUGAAAGCAGGGGAUCUUCGGACCUUGCGCGAUUGAAUGAGCCGAUGUCGGAUUAGCUAGUUGGCGGGGUAAAGGCCCACCAAGGCGACGAUCCGUAGCUGGUCUGAGAGGAGGAUCAGCCACACUGGAACUGAGACACGGACCAGAGUCCUAAGGGAGGCAGCAGUGGGGAAUAUUGGACAAUGGGCGCAAGCCUGAUCCAGCCAUACCGCGUGGGUGAAGAAGGCCUUCGGGUUGUAAAGCCCUUUUGUUGGGAAAGAAAAGCAGCAGGUUAAUACCCCGCUGUUCUGACGGUACCCAAAGAAUAAGCACCGGCUAACUUCGUG
This 492-nucleotide ribosomal RNA is filed under the name uncultured bacterium. RNAcentral describes it as "partial 16S ribosomal RNA". It matches the Rfam family "Bacterial small subunit ribosomal RNA", at positions 29 to 507 of the family's 1533-position model. The record is from RNAcentral.